This 654-nucleotide ribosomal RNA is filed under the name uncultured Rothia sp. Its description in RNAcentral is "bacterial SSU rRNA". It matches the Rfam family "Bacterial small subunit ribosomal RNA", at positions 95 to 758 of the family's 1533-position model. Lineage: Bacteria; Bacillati; Actinomycetota; Actinomycetes; Micrococcales; Micrococcaceae. The record is from RNAcentral.
GUGGCGAACGGGUGAGUAAUACGUGAGUGACCUACCUUUGACUCUGGGACAAGCCUGGGAAACUGGGUCUAAUACCGGAUACGACCAAUCUCCGCAUGGGGUGUUGGUGGAAAGCGUUAUGGAGUGGUUUUAGAUGGGCUCACGGCCUAUUAGCUUGUUGGUGAGGUAAUGGCUUACCAAGGCGACGACGGGUAGCCGGCCUGAGAGGGUGACCGGCCACACUGGGACUGAGACACGGCCCAGACUCCUACGGGAGGCAGCAGUGGGGAAUAUUGCACAAUGGGCGCAAGCCUGAUGCAGCGACGCCGCGUGAGGGAUGACGGCCUUCGGGUUGUAAACCUCUGUUAGCAUCGAAGAAGCGAAAGUGACGGUAGGUGCAGAGAAAGCGCCGGCUAACUACGUGCCAGCAGCCGCGGUAAUACGUAGGGCGCGAGCGUUGUCCGGAAUUAUUGGGCGUAAAGAGCUUGUAGGCGGUUGGUCGCGUCUGCUGUGAAAGGCUGGGGCUUAACCCUGGUUUUGCAGUGGGUACGGGCUAACUAGAGUGCAGUAGGGGAGACUGGAAUUCCUGGUGUAGCGGUGGAAUGCGCAGAUAUCAGGAGGAACACCGAUGGCGAAGGCAGGUCUCUGGGCUGUAACUGACGCUGAGAAGCGAAA